RNAcentral lists this microRNA precursor (66 nucleotides) under Loxodonta africana (African savanna elephant). RNAcentral's name for it is "miRNA (ENSLAFG00000026401.1)". The record is from RNAcentral. Lineage: Eukaryota; Metazoa; Chordata; Mammalia; Proboscidea; Elephantidae.
ACCAACCCUCCUGGUUUGCCUGGGACUGGGGGCUUUCCAGGGACAUGGGACUUCCAGUGCUCAAAC